AAGGCAUUCGUUGUGGUUGAGGUAUGAAUUAUACAAUUUGAUUUUUGUUCAAAAUUUUAAAUAUAUUUUAGCAAUUUUGCUCAUUGAUUUGGUUUCUGAAAUUUAUUUAUUUUUUUGCUCAUAUUUGAGUUUCUUUUCUGUUUCCGUUAUCACAUCUUCAAAUCUAAUUUCGGUUCGAUUUUGUUGUGGUCAGGUGUUGUUAGUGAGGAUUCAGAGAUCCGCC
RNAcentral lists this long non-coding RNA (223 nucleotides) under Prunus persica (peach). Its description in RNAcentral is "long non-coding RNA (PPER_LNC006018)". Lineage: Eukaryota; Viridiplantae; Streptophyta; Magnoliopsida; Rosales; Rosaceae. The record is from RNAcentral.